UGGGGAAUCUUGCACAAUGGGGGAAAUCCUGAAGCAGCAACGCCGCGUGGAGGAUGAAGGGUCUAUGACUUGUAAACUCCUGUAAAGAAGGAAAAAAUUCCCAUUUGAUGGGAGAUGAUGGUACUUCUGGAGUAAGCCCCGGCUAACUACGUGCCAGCAGCCGCGGUAAUACGUAGGGGGCAGGCGUUGUCCGGAUUUACUGGGUGUAAAGGGUGCUCAGGCGGAUUUGUAAGUCAGAGGUGAAAUCUUACAGCUUAACUGUGAAACUGCCUUUGAUACUGCAAGCCUAGAGUAUGGAAGAGAGUGAUGGAAUAUCUGGUGUAGCAGUGAAAUGCGUAGAUAUCAGAUAGAACACCAAUGGCGAAGGCAGUCACUUGGUCCAUUACUGACGCUAAAGCACGAAAGCGUGGGUAGCAAACA
This 420-nucleotide ribosomal RNA is filed under the name uncultured bacterium. Its description in RNAcentral is "bacterial SSU rRNA". It matches the Rfam family "Bacterial small subunit ribosomal RNA", at positions 355 to 774 of the family's 1533-position model. The record is from RNAcentral.